CCUACGGGAGGCAGCAGUGGGGAAUAUUGCACAAUGGGGGAAACCCUGAUGCAGCGACGCCGCGUGAAGGAAGAAGUAUUUCGGUAUGUAAACUUCUAUCAGCAGGGAAGAAAAUGACGGUACCUGACUAAGAAGCUCCGGAUAACUACGUGCCAGCAGCCGCGGUACUACGUAGGGGGCAAGCGUUAUCCGGAUUUACUGGGUGUAAAGGGAGCGUAGGCGGCGAUGCAAGUCAGAAGUGAAAGCCCGAGGCUCAACUCCGGGACUGCUUUUGAAACUGUGUUGCUAGAUUGCAGGAGAGGUAAGUGGAAUUCCUAGUGUAGCGGUGAAAUGCGUAGAUAUUAGGAGGAACACCAGUGGCGAAGGCGGCUUACUGGACUGUAAAUGACGCUGAGGCUCGAAAGCGUGGGGAGCAAACAGGAUUAGAUACCCGAGUAGUC
RNAcentral lists this ribosomal RNA (440 nucleotides) under uncultured bacterium. Its description in RNAcentral is "partial 16S ribosomal RNA". It matches the Rfam family "Bacterial small subunit ribosomal RNA", at positions 338 to 795 of the family's 1533-position model. The record is from RNAcentral.